CUGACGUUGAUUACAUUAUCCGUGACAAUUUGUAGGCGAAGUGUACAAUUGAUCUUAAAACAGAAAGUGGGAAUGUUGGUGGAAGCACAAUUAUCUAUACAUGAUUCAGUUGGUUGUGGGAAGGAGACGUUCAUACGUUACACAGUUUGACAAUGGCUGAGAGGCAUUUUGUUUUUUUUUUUUUUUUUUUAUAGUUUUUUUCACUAUGCAAUAACAAAUUGAUGGACUAUGAGUUUUUUCUAAAUCCUAAAUAUAAUUCUAAAAUGAUUAUUUGCAGAAAAUUUUCUACUUUCAAUGAAGAAUUGCA
This 307-nucleotide long non-coding RNA is filed under the name Mytilus galloprovincialis (Mediterranean mussel). The record is from RNAcentral. Lineage: Eukaryota; Metazoa; Mollusca; Bivalvia; Mytilida; Mytilidae.